Molecule: long non-coding RNA, 2139 nt
Filed under: Jatropha curcas
Lineage: Eukaryota; Viridiplantae; Streptophyta; Magnoliopsida; Malpighiales; Euphorbiaceae
Description: long non-coding RNA (JCUR_LNC002050)
Source: RNAcentral
UUUGCCGACAGAGUUUUGUAUAUUAUCGAGGAAAUUAACAUGACAUGUGUGUAUUAUUAGUACACACUUGUUUACCGAUGGAUUUAUAAUGUUACCUACCGAUGUUGCCGUUGGUAAUCCUUAGGGCACUAGAUACACGUCUUUAUCUUUUAUGCGACAUUUUAGUUCCUUUUUCUCACUUUCUCUCUCCAUAGCCUCGCUCUCCUCAACCCAUCUCUCUUCCACGGUCGUCAGCAAUCGCCGAAGGUAGAUCCUUACUCGUUUUUAUUUGGCUUCGAUUUAUGGUCUUUAUUUUCUUUCUUUGUCGCUUUCUCUCUCCACCUUUGAGAUUGUUGGAUUUUUGAAGUCAUCUUAAUCUCAUGUAAUAAGCUUGGUUUGCAGUUUUAAUUGGUUGUUUGAAUAUGGUUUUGGCAGCAAUUAAUUGAUUUUAUGCAAAUACUGGUAUUGAUUUUAUGCAAAUUGUGGUUCUUUCCCCAUCUCUCGCUCUGCAAUUAUUUUCAGCAGUAAUAUGCCAUUUUGAUUCAAAUGAAAGCAUUACCUUUAAGAUUGAUUAUUAAUUUUUUUUUGCAAAAGGUUUCACAUAUUAGGGUUUUCGUAUUUUCAUGGCCGCAUAAUCUAAGUUGUCCAAGUUCUAUUAUAUUGUUAUUCCCUUUCUUGAACGGAGCAACUGAAUUUUUUGUUUAUUUUAUAUUUUUAACACUCUGAGUUAAACUUUUUGGUUAUAUUUGAUUUCUUAAUAUAGUGGUGGAGAUGUGCUUCUUAGUUUAAUUAAAACUUACGUCAGUGAAGAAGGUCUUAAUGAUUACAUCCUCCAUUAAUUGAUAAAGGUUGAAUUUAAACUUUUUAGUAAAAACUUUUGUGAGUGUAGAAUUUAUGUUCCAAAAUUACAAAAUGGUUAACUAAUUAAUUAUGUAAAAAAAUUGAUAGAGGUUGAAUUCAAAAGGUAUAUUCUCAAACGGGUAUUCUUUAGCAGAAAAGAUUUAAGUUUUUGUGUAAAAAUAGAUUUCAUUUGUUAAAAAUAGAUUUCAUUCUCAAAAGGGUGUUAUUAUUUAGAAUGUUAAUUUAGAAUUAACCAAAAAAAUUUUAUGUUAUGUAAGUUCUAUUAUAAUGCUCUCUGUCUGUUUUUCACAUUCUAUUGGAGAUGAUGCUCAAUUGUAGAUGAUUUGAAAGGGACUUUUAUUUUUACAUUAAGUUUAAUUAAUUAGAGGUAUGAUAAUAUUUGGGUUGUUUACUGUUUGAAAAUAAUUCUGAAACAUUUAUGGUUGGAAUGAAUUAUGAAUAUUUGUGGUGAUAUUUUGAGCAGUUUUUCAAAUAAUUUAAAGCACAUAUAAAUUGUAAAACUGUAAAUAUAAUGGUUCAAAAAAAAAAAAAUCCAACUUAUACCGAUGGAAAUUGUUAGAAAACCAUCAUAUAUGGAUGGAUUAUUGAGGAAAAUUAUCAGAAAUUAACAAUUUUCUAUGGAACUUAUUCAAAAACCAAACUAUAUCAGACAGAAUUAUUUUACAUGCUAGGAUUUAACGACGGAUUUUGGUUGUAAAUUUUUUUAAAUUUUAACAAAAAUACAGAGUGAUUUAUUGACGAUUUACUUAUCGAAAUAUUUACCAAUGGAAUACCGAUAACAUUUUGGCAACGAUUUCACAACGAUUUACCGACUACUAUUGACAAAAUACUGAUGAGAUAUCUAUUGAUAAUGACCGACAGUUUCUUAGUCGAUUGGCAAAUAUUUUACCAUCUAGCGAUCUAGCGACCGAUUUUUGUGGUCAGUGUUCCAUUCGCAUUUUCUUGAUUUUACGGUUUCUUAGUUAAUUUUUUUAUAGUGAGAUAUUCUUUUACUACAAAAGUCAAAUUUGUCUUUUUAUAUUUUUGUGUAUAAUGAGUAUAGAAUCAAAUAUCUAUACGUGUCGCAUUAUUGUACCACUUAUGAUUGUAAAAUUUAUUCUUAAUUAUUUGUGUGGCUGUUAUAAUUGCUAAAAUCAUCUUUUCAACUGUGAUAUUGUUAAUAUUCUCAGUGAUAGAUAUAUUUUUGUCAUUUGGGCAUGCCCAAUGUUAUAUGUUAUUCCACUCAUUUUAGUGAAUGGAAAAAUCGAAUGGGGCAAGUUCUACGAUGUUAAUUAAGAGUUCAAUACUUUGUUUAAUAAU